GCGGUUAAAAAGUGCGUAGUCUGGGUUUCGCUGUGGAUGCCAGAGCCGUCCCCUGGAAGGUUCAUGGAGUCUCGGCAUCUCUUCAGCUUGGAUCUAUGCUUGACUGUGUGGGUCCGGGCUGGGAGCCAUCACCUCGAGGAAAUUAGAGUGCUCGAAGCAGGCGUGAGCUUGUAUAUAUUAGCAUGGAAUGACUUUUGGGCGUCUCAAUGUCCUUUGUUGGCUUUGGACAUUGAGGAGAGGAUUGAUAGGGACAGUUGGGGGCAUUCGUAUUUGACUGUCAGAGGUGAAAUUCUUGAAUUCGUCAAGGUCGUCCGACUGCGAAGGCAUUUGCCAAAGAUGUUUUCAUUGAUCAAGAUCGAAAGUUAGGGGAUCGAAGAUGAUCAGAUACCGUCCUAGUCUUAACCAUAAACGAUGCCAACUAGGGAUUGGAGGGCAUCUACUAUACGGGCUUUCCAGCGUCUUUGGAGAAAUCAAAGUCUUCGGGUUCCGGGGGGAGUAUGGUCGCAAGACUGAAACUUAAAGGAAUUGACGGAAGGGCACCACCAGGAGUGGAGCCUGCGGCUUAAUUUGACUCAACACGGGGAAACUUACCAGGUCCAGACACA
This 605-nucleotide ribosomal RNA is filed under the name uncultured marine eukaryote. Its description in RNAcentral is "bacterial SSU rRNA". It matches the Rfam family "Eukaryotic small subunit ribosomal RNA", at positions 615 to 1232 of the family's 1831-position model. The record is from RNAcentral.